This 253-nucleotide ribosomal RNA is filed under the name uncultured bacterium. Its description in RNAcentral is "partial 16S ribosomal RNA". It matches the Rfam family "Bacterial small subunit ribosomal RNA", at positions 524 to 776 of the family's 1533-position model. The record is from RNAcentral.
UACGGGGGGGGCAAGCGUUGUUCGGAAUUACUGGGCGUAACGGGCUCGUAGGCGGCCAACUAAGUCGGACGUGAAAUCCCUCGGCUUAACCGGGGAACUGCGUCCGAUACUGGAUGGCUUGAGUUCGGGAGAGGGAUGCGGAAUUCCAGGUGUAGCGGUGAAAUGCGUAGAUAUCUGGAGGAACACCGGUGGCGAAGGCGGCAUCCUGGACCGACACUGACGCUGAGGAGCGAAAGCCAGGGGAGCAAACGGG